UACGUAGGGGGCAAGCGUUGUCCGGAUUUAUUGGGCGUAAAGAGCGUGUAGGCGGCUUGGCAGGUCCGCUGUGAAAACUCGAGGCUCAACCUCGAGAUGUCGGCGGAAACCACUUGGCUAGAGUCCGGAAGAGGAGAGUGGAAUUCCUGGUGUAGCGGUGAAAUGCGCAGAUAUCAGGAAGAACACCUAUGGCGAAGGCAGCUCUCUGGGACGGUACUGACGCUGAGACGCGAAAGCGUGGGGAGCGAACAGG
This 253-nucleotide ribosomal RNA is filed under the name uncultured bacterium. RNAcentral describes it as "partial 16S ribosomal RNA". It matches the Rfam family "Bacterial small subunit ribosomal RNA", at positions 524 to 776 of the family's 1533-position model. The record is from RNAcentral.